ACCGUUAUAACCGGCGAUUUCCGAAUGGGGAAACCCAGUGUGAUUCGUCACACUAUCAUUAACUGAAUCCAUAGGUUAAUGAGGCGAACCGGGGGAACUGAAACAUCUAAGUACCCCGAGGAAAAGAAAUCAACCGAGAUUCCCCCAGUAGCGGCGAGCGAACGGGGAGGAGCCCAGAGCCUGAAUCAGCAUGUGUGUUAGUGGAAGCGUCUGGAAAGGUGCGCGAUACAGGGUGACAGCCCCGUACACAAAAGCGCAUGUGCUGUGAGCUCGAUGAGUAGGGCGGGACACGUGGUAUCCUGUCUGAAUAUGGGGGGACCAUCCUCCAAGGCUAAAUACUCCUGACUGACCGAUAGUGAACCAGUACCGUGAGGGAAAGGCGAAAAGAACCCCGGCGAGGGGAGUGAAAAAGAACCUGAAACCGUGUACGUACAAGCAGUGGGAGCACAGGUUUACCUGUGUGACUGCGUACCUUUUGUAUAAUGGGUCAGCGACUUAUAUUCUGUAGCAAGGUUAACCGUAUAGGGGAGCCGUAGGGAAACCGAGUCUUAACCGGGCGUUAAGUUGCAGGGUAUAGACCCGAAACCCGGUGAUCUAGCCAUGGGCAGGUUGAAGGUUGGGUAACACUAACUGGAGGACCGAACCGACUAAUGUUGAAAAAUUAGCGGAUGACCUGUGGCUGGGGGUGAAAGGCCAAUCAAACCGGGAGAUAGCUGGUUCUCCCCGAAAGCUAUUUAGGUAGCGCCUCGUGAAUUCAUCUCCGGGGGUAGAGCACUGUUUCGGCUAGGGGGCCAUCCCGGCUUACCAACCCGAUGCAAACUGCGAAUACCGGAGAAUGUUAUCACGGGAGACACACGGCGGGUGCUAACGUCCGUCGUGAAGAGGGAAACAACCCAGACCGCCAGCUAAGGUCCCAAAGUCAUGGUUAAGUGGGAAACGAUGUGGGAAGGCCCAGACAGCCAGGAUGUUGGCUUAGAAGCAGCCAUCAUUUAAAGAAAGCGUAAUAGCUCACUGGUCGAGUCGGCCUGCGCGGAAGAUGUAACGGGGCUAAACCAUGCACCGAAGCUGCGGCAGCGAACGUAUCACCCAAGACAACUUUACGGAGUUGACGAUUGACGGAGCGAAGCGACGUCAAAGCGUUCAUUAAAGUCGAGUUGGCUUAGGGAUACGUUCGUUGGGUAGGGGAGCGUUCUGUAAGCCUGUGAAGGUGUGUCGUGAGGCAUGCUGGAGGUAUCAGAAGUGCGAAUGCUGACAUAAGUAACGAUAAAGCGGGUGAAAAGCCCGCUCGCCGGAAGACCAAGGGUUCCUGUCCAACGUUAAUCGGGGCAGGGUGAGUCGACCCCUAAGGCGAGGCCGAAAGGCGUAGUCGAUGGGAAACGGGUUAAUAUUCCCGUACUUGGUGUUACUGCGAAGGGGGGACGGAGAAGGCUAUGUUGGCCGGGCGACGGUUGUCCCGGUUUAAGCGUGUAGGUGUGUGUUCCAGGUAAAUCCGGUU
Molecule: ribosomal RNA, 1495 nt
Filed under: Salmonella enterica subsp. enterica
Lineage: Bacteria; Pseudomonadati; Pseudomonadota; Gammaproteobacteria; Enterobacterales; Enterobacteriaceae
Description: partial 23S ribosomal RNA
Rfam family: Bacterial large subunit ribosomal RNA
Source: RNAcentral